CUGAUCCUAGGCCAUGGGGCCCAGAAAUGGGGAUGGAGUGCCGGGGCAGAUGCACCAUCCAACUGAGUGUGCCCCAGAGUCACACGGCUUCUCCCCACAGGACUGGAUCGACCUUGUGGUUGCCGUCUGCCCCCCAAAGGAGUAUGACGAUGAGCUGACCUUCUUCUGAAGUCCAAAAGGGGAAACCAAAUUCACCGUUAGGAAACAGUGAGCUCCGGCCCCACCUCGUGAACACAAAGCCUCGGAUCAGCCUUGAGAGAGGCCACACUACACACACCAGAUGGCAUCCUUGGGACCUGAAUCUAUCACCCAGGAAUCUCAAACUCCCUUUGGCCCUGAACCAGGGCCAGAUAAGGAACAGCUCGGGCCAC
RNAcentral lists this long non-coding RNA (371 nucleotides) under Homo sapiens (human). Its description in RNAcentral is "non-protein coding lnc-ABCC8-2:1". Lineage: Eukaryota; Metazoa; Chordata; Mammalia; Primates; Hominidae. The record is from RNAcentral.